UACAGAGGGGGCAAGCGUUGUUCGGAAUUACUGGGCGUAAAGGGCGCGUAGGCGGCCUUCUAAGUCGAACGUGAAAUCCCCGGGCUCAACCCGGGAACUGCGUCCGAUACUGGAAGGCUUGAAUCCGGGAGAGGGAUGUGGAAUUCCAGGUGUAGCGGUGAAAUGCGUAGAUAUCUGGAGGAACACCGGUGGCGAAGGCGGCAUCCUGGACCAAUAUUGACGCUGAGGAGCGAAAGCCAGGGGAGCAAACGGG
This 253-nucleotide ribosomal RNA is filed under the name uncultured bacterium. RNAcentral describes it as "partial 16S ribosomal RNA". It matches the Rfam family "Bacterial small subunit ribosomal RNA", at positions 524 to 776 of the family's 1533-position model. The record is from RNAcentral.